GGCGGCCGCGUGGGCUCCGGGGCGCGGGCGCCGCCUCUCCCCGGGCGCCGGGAGAGCAGGCAGAUGAACGCGAGGCGCUGCCUGCUCGGCCUCACCUUUUGCACCUGCUACCUGGCCUCUCACCUCACGAACAAGUAUGUCCUAUCUGUCCUGAAAUUUACCUACCCUACAUUAUUCCAAGGGUGGCAGACAUUCAUCGGUGGACUUCUGCUUCAUGUGUCAUGGAAGCUGGGCUGGGUGGAGAUCAACAGCAGUCCAAGAUCCAAUGUUUUGACAUGGCUUCCUGCUUCACUGCUGUUUGUGGGUAUAAUCUAUGCAGGGUCCAGAGCAUUGUCUAGACUGGCUGUUCCUGUGUUUUUCAUUUUGCAUAAUGUAGCUGAAGUCCUCAUCUGUGGGUACCAGAAGUAUGUCUGGAAAGAGAAAACAUCGUUCACAAAGAUCUGUAGUGCCCUCUUCCUCUUGGCUGCUGCAGGGUGCUUUCCCUUCCAGGACUCUGAGCUCGAUCCAGAUGGAUAUUUUUGGGCUGUAAUUCAUGUAUUUUGUGUAGGGGCUUACAGAAUACUGCGGAAGGCCCAGAAGCCCAGUGUGUUAAGUGACAUUGACCAGCAAUACUUAAACUAUAUAUUCAGUAUGGUGCUCCUGGCAUUUGCAUCUCACCCCACAGGUGACCUCUUCAGUGUCCUGGACUUUCCAUUCCUGUACUUCUACAGAUUCCACGGCAGCUGCUGGGCCAGUGGAGUUUUAGGAUUCCUCCUCAUGCUCAGUACAGUAAAGCUAAGAAGUGCUCUGGCCCCUGGGCAGUGUGCGGCCUGGAUCUUCUUUGCUAAGCGUUCACAGACACAAUGAGGCCAGCUGCCUGACUCCUGGCAGACAGGAUUCCUCCCAAGUUCCAGAACCGUGUGGAGAUGCAGAGGCGCAGGCCUGGCUGAGGAUAUUCCCGGCAAGGGACACCUCCCUUUUCUCGGGGAGGGCUAAGUCUCAUGAAAGAGGCAGAGAGUAGGCAGAAAAGAUGGAUAAAGGAAGCCUCCAAGAGCUGAUGAAGAAGGGCAAAGGAGGACCACGAGAUGGCCUACAAGAUAAAGCUGCUUGCUGCCAUAGGAGCCGACAUGGUGGAAAGAGAACCAACUUCUGUACAGGUGCACUGUGUCAUCACAGCCGGCCUGUCGCUGGUGCUGUUUGAUGUCAUCCUGACCAGAGCAACUGUGGGAUGCUUCCUGCUCGGUGGACUUGGUGAGGCCCUGCUGGUUUUCUCAGAGCGGAGAAGUUCCUGAUGAAGAUGGGCAAGAAAAGGAAGCACACUUUGCAGGAGAGCCAUAGGAAGAGCACACCACAGUGAGCCCGAGCCGGGGUCUCUGCUGGACAGCACCCGUGACCUGUGCACGCCCCGACCAAGCUACGCUCACUGGCUGCUGAUGAUCUGAACACCCCUCUCUCAUCGCUUAGAGAAGGACUUCCAGGGACCUUGCGCUGCUGCUGUAGAGAACGGGUCCAUCUUACUUUUUUUUUUUUUUUUCAUGCUGAACCAUCCCUCUCUGCUGCACCCAAUUCUUCAGAAUCAGGAAGCAGAGGAUUUCAUUGUUGUUGUUUUCUUUUCUUUUUUGUUUGUUUGUUUUUUGUUUUGUUUGUUUUGUUUGUUUGUUUGUUUGUUUUGAGACAGGGUUUCUCUGUGUAGCCUUGGCUGUCCUGGACUCCCUUUGUAGACCAGGCUGAACUCAGAGAUCUGCCCGCCUCUGCCUCCUGAGUGCUGGAAUUACGGGCAUGCGCCACCGCGUCUGGCUGAAGCAGAGGACCUUAGUGGGAUGGCUGUGUGAGCUGGAUGGACAACAGCCUCUGGACCUAACUGCCUCCUACCAGAUACGCUCAGUAACUGAGGUCACAGACCAUGGCGUCUUGUUGCGUUCAGGAGGUUGUUUUGUGUCUUUACAUCUUGGAGUCUCUUAUACCCCUUGAUUUUUAUGGUGCACCCUGGAGCCCAUGCCCCCCAACCAAAAAAAAAAAAACAAGACACACAUGUUCCUGAGGGCCCAUGGAGGGUAGGGCCAGAGGGGUGGGAGUGAGGGUGAGUUCCGGACCACGUGAGUAGUAGCCUUCGUGCUUGGUGUUGGUUUAUUUCCAGCUUCUAAAUUCCCCUUGGUUCUUGUGAAUUUGUCAGGAUGUGCUGAAUUCUGUAGACGAUUGACCACCACUAGGUUAGGCUUGUGACUAAUCAGUUAAUUAUCUGAAGUCUUCUAAGCACUGUGUAGCCCAGAUGGUCCUUAAUGCCUCACCUUCUGCCUCCGCCUCCGAGUGCUGGGAUUGCAGGCACGUACUACCAUUCUUAGCUUUUGUUCCCAAGUUAGCUAGCAUAUGUAACCCUUCAUAACUCAGAAGAGAUCUCAGGUCAUUGAGCACUGGGUUUAAUCUCUUAUACCAGAUUAAUAAUUCAAGUCCCAUAGCUUGCCACUAGAUAAGAAAACUACUUUAUAUAUAUAAAAUAAUCGCUUGAUUCUGAAUCCACCAAGGCUUAAGAAAAUAAUACUGAAUAUUUCUUCCUAAUGAUUUCACAAAUAUUUGAUUAUUUUGGCAAGUCUGGGAGAGUUUGGGUCAUAUUGAGGUCACUUCUCCAACCCUGAAGUACAGGAGACCCAUGUCAUUGCUAGAGACACUUUGGGCUCUGAGAAUGACUUCUUGUCACAGGCUCAGUCCCAGGAUGAAUGAAGUCAGCUCCAUUAUUGCUGAUUUUUUCCCCCAACUUGUUGGUUAAAAAAAGGAAAUGAAACAGUAGGAUGGAUUUAUAUAUUUAGAAUGUGGGGACCUUUAGUUCAUGUCCUUUUCUGAUCUCUGCUUAUCAUUUAAGGUGAAAACGUUCCAAGACUUCAUGCUCAUGUUGUUUUCAAUUUCCUUUCUUAGAACAUUUUUACAUGUAGUCAUUCUAUUAUUUUUAUGCCUGUUACCCAUGAAGGUUGGAAGAAGGCGUCAGAUCCACAGAAGUGGAGUUACAGGCAAUAGUGAAUCGCCAUGAGCUGGACCUGUGUGCUCGCAAGAGUUACACGUGCUCUUACCCACUGAGCCUGCAAUUUUCUUUUUUAAGUAUUUUUAUUUUAAAUUAUGUGGAUGUUUAUAAGUAUGUGCAUAAUGGCUGCAGAUGUCCCAAGUAGGCCAGAAGAGAAUAUUGGGCUCCUGGAGACAGAAGUCGAGGAGGUUGUGAGCUGCCCAGUGUGGGUGUUGGGGACAAAGUCCGGCUCUCUGCUAGAGCAGGACUCGCUCUUAACUGAGCGUGUUUCUGACUCUUGUUCUUCAUCUGUUGUAACAAGCUAGUAACAUAAUAAUGUCCUGUAGCUCAAAUAGAGAAUCUAGGUUUAAAUAUUUCCUUUUUUCAGUUUUCACAGAACUCUAUUGCCCCCUGCCCCCAUUUGAAAAAGGAGGUUAUCUAUCCAAAUGCCAUUCUGUGCCUGUCCUUCAAAAUGUCAUUAAAGCGGGUGGAGAGUCCUCAGCUGGAAAGAACCGCACAGCUGCCAAUCCCAGUCCCGUUUCUAACAGGAUGAACCUCAGAAACCUUUCCUGAAAAGUCUUAGAGACUUCUGUGGUUAAGAUUACCAGUUUCUAGUGUUUUCGGUGUUACUAUUAUUUUUCUAACCACGUUCCAGAGUUCCACUGUUUCUGAAGUCUUGGGUGAUUUUGUACUGUACUGGUAGGGCGAGGCUGAGGGCAGGGAGCCCCCUCAGCGCACUAACCGGUGUCCUUCAGCUUCUGUCUGCAGGACACAGGUUGCUCUGGGCUUCUUACCUUAAGGUGUGGCCACCGUCUUUAUCCCCUGUCCCCUUUUAUCAUGCUCUGAAUGUUCAGUGAAUCCAGAGAUGAAGCAGGGGCUCCCCUAUCACGGCAGCACCCCUGGAGUUCUGCUGUGAGGAUCUCUGGACCCAGUGCUCUAAGGUGUCCACGGCCCUCACGUCUUCAUGCCUAUUUAGUUCUGAGCUCUACCUAGCUCCAGUUUGUUUGUUUGGGCGGGGUCUCUGUUAUGUAACCCUGGCUAUCCUGCUGGAAGUGUAGGCCAGGCUAGCCUUGAACUAGCCUGCCUCUGCCUCCCCAGUGCUGGAAUUAAAGGUGCGCACAUGACCACGCCUGAUUCCCAUCAUUUCAAAACCAGGAUGCUUUUGCUUUUGUUUUUUACUUGCAUAUUCCUUCUUUCAAGGGAGGCAAGGUUCUGUGUGAUUGUAUAUUAAACUACACUUCUGUGACUGUGAAAAAUAAACCAUUUAUUUUCUUGGUAA
Molecule: RNA transcript, 4250 nt
Organism: Meriones unguiculatus (Mongolian gerbil)
Lineage: Eukaryota; Metazoa; Chordata; Mammalia; Rodentia; Muridae
Gene: Slc35d4
Gene name: transmembrane protein 241
Exons: 16
Source: RefSeq, a predicted model, not a curated record